RNAcentral lists this long non-coding RNA (4603 nucleotides) under Brassica napus (rape). Its description in RNAcentral is "long non-coding RNA (BNAP_LNC005143)". Lineage: Eukaryota; Viridiplantae; Streptophyta; Magnoliopsida; Brassicales; Brassicaceae. The record is from RNAcentral.
UCUGAGAGAGUCUUUGGUUAUCGAUUUGGGUUGGUCUUCUCUUCAAAUUAUAGUCAACGGUUGAAAACGCGUCAAGGGCUUUUCUCAUUGAUUCGAGAUCCUAUGAAGGAGAGUUGUUACUAGGGUUCGUUUUUAAUCUACGAGGAAUGAUGAAACCUACCUUCUUAUGGCUGCUUCUUGUUUUCGAUUUGGUUCUCAGAGUAGCUGGCAACGCCGAAGGUCUACUUCUCUUCGAUUAUUUAUUGUAUAAGCAAAGUUUUCUAUUUGACUUGAGUUAUGUUAUGUAAUUAAUUGAUUGCAAAGGUUUGAAAAGUGUUUUUUUGAUUCUUUCUUUUGGUUAAAACCGCAGGUGAUGCUUUGAGUGCACUGAAGAACAGUUUAGCAGACCCUAACAAGGUGCUCCAGAGUUGGGAUGCUACUCUUGUUACUCCCUGUACAUGGUUUCAUGUUACUUGCAAUAGUGACAAUAGUGUCACACGUGUGUAAGUUUCUUUUUUUUUUGUUUUCUGUCUCUCUGGCGCAAAGAAUGUUGCCUACUAAGAUCUUCAUCUUUGUUUAGUGACCUUGGGAAUGCGAAUCUAUCUGGUCAGCUAGUAAUGCAGCUUGGUCAGCUCCCAAACUUGCAGUACCUGUAAGUUCAUCUCUUCCUAAACAUGAUAUAUCUAGGUGAAGUAGCUUUGAUAACUUUUGUAAUAUGGAAGAAAAUGUAAUGAUACAGGGAGCUUUAUAGCAAUAACAUAACUGGGACAAUCCCAGAGACGCUUGGGAAUUUAACGGAGUUGGUGAGCUUGGAUCUUUACUUGAACAAUCUAAGCGGUCCCAUCCCAAAAUCUCUUGGCCGACUACAGAAACUCCGUUUCUUGUAUGCAACCCCCACUCUUCUCUUACUACCCCUUUUUUUUUAUAAUCAGCCUAACUAUUGUCUUCAGUUUCCUUGAAAAGCUAUUCCUACUUGUGUUUAGGCGUCUUAAUAACAAUAGCUUAUCUGGAGAAAUCCCAAGGUCUUUGACUGCUGUCUUGUCGCUUCAAGUUCUGUAAGUGUACCUUUUGUCUCUCUCUCCCUAGUACCUUUGUGUUCAUUGUUUCUGAUUAUUGUUUGAUAUUAACUUUAUCUUGAAAUGCAGGGAUCUCUCAAACAAUCCUCUCACUGGAGAUAUUCCUGUUAAUGGUUCCUUUUCACUUUUCACACCUAUCAGGUUUUGCUUCUUUCUCCUAAUUUAAACCUUUUGUGGACAUGUCAGAACGGGUUGAUUAAUUAUUUGGAAUUUAUUUUCAGUUUUGCCAAUACCAAUUUGACACCUCUUCCUGCAUCUCCGCCGCCUCCCAUCUCUCCUACACCGCCAUCACCUGGAGGUUCUUCGUUUUGUCUAUGUCUACUUGAAAAACAUUCAAAGACUAAGAUGUUCAUAUCAUACUUGCAGGGAGUAAUAGAAUCACUGGAGCUAUUGCUGGAGGAGUUGCUGCAGGUGCUGCACUUCUUUUCGCUGUUCCAGCCAUUGCACUUGCUUUGUGGCGUAGGAAAACACCACAAGAUCACUUCUUUGAUGUACCAGGUUAGAGAAACAUCCAUGGCUUGUUUUUCUCAUUGACACUACUUUGGCUGAGUUUUUGUUUUUGUUACAGCUGAAGAGGACCCAGAGGUGCAUUUAGGACAACUCAAGAGGUUUUCUUUACGUGAACUACAAGUUGCUUCUGAUAAUUUCAGCAACAGGAACAUAUUAGGUAGAGGAGGUUUUGGUAAAGUGUAUAAAGGAAGGUUAGCUGAUAGCACUUUGGUGGCGAUUAAAAGACUGAAAGAGGAACGUACUCAAGGUGGUGAACUACAGUUCCAGACCGAGGUUGAGAUGAUUAGUAUGGCUGUUCAUAGGAACUUGCUUCGGCUUCGUGGUUUUUGCAUGACUCCAACAGAAAGAUUGCUUGUUUAUCCUUACAUGGCUAAUGGAAGUGUUGCAUCCUGUUUAAGAGGUAACUCUCUCAUCUUGUAGCUUAUUCCUUGUCCUCCUAAUUGCUGCAAGGAAAUACCUAAAAGUUCGUUUAGGACCGGUUCUGAGUUUUUGGGGGUUACAUGCAAUUUAGUAAGAAUUUUAAAUUUUAACAAUUUUGGUACCUGUUCUGAGAUUUUGAGGUUUAUAUGCAAUUUAGUAAGAAUUUUUGUUAAAAAAUUUAAACAAGUUUGGUACCUGUUCUGAUAUUUUGAGGGUUAUAUACAAUUUAGUAAGAAUUUUAAUUUAAAAUUCUAAACAAUUUUGGAAUGUUUAUGAGAUUUUGAGGGUUUUAUGCAAUUUAGUAAGAAUUAUUUUUAAAAAAUAAACAGUUUUGGUAUCGGUUCUGAGAAUUUGGGGGGUUGCAUGCAAUUUAGCAAGAGUUUUAAUUAAAAAAAUCAACAAUUUUGGGAGCUUAUGUUUAUAUAAAUAUUUAUUAAAAUUUGGGGGGUCAUAGGUCAAUGUUUCACUUGUAUACGUUUUGAUCUGCUAGUAACGUUUUAUUCUUAUCUUGUCCUUAGACCGUCCAGAGUCUCAGCCAGCACUUGAUUGGCCAAAGAGACAGGGUAUUGCGUUAGGAUCAGCAAGGGGGCUUGCAUAUUUACAUGAUCAUUGCGACCCAAAGAUCAUACAUAGAGAUGUGAAAGCUGCAAAUAUAUUAUUGGACGAAGACUUUGAAGCUGUGGUCGGAGAUUUUGGACUUGCAAAACUCAUGGACUACAAAGACACACAUGUAACAACCGCAGUGCGUGGUACGAUUGGUCAUAUAGCACCUGAGUACCUUUCUACUGGUAAAUCAUCAGAGAAAACAGAUGUGUUUGGUUAUGGAGUCAUGCUUCUUGAGCUCAUUACUGGACAAAGAGCUUUCGAUCUUGCUCGUCUCGCCAAUGACGAUGAUGUCAUGUUACUAGACUGGGUAUAUAUUCAUGUGUUUCAGUUUCACACUUGUAUAGUUUCUUCUAUUUGUGUUAGUUAUAAGUGUUUGUUUUGUACCAUUCAACAGGUGAAAGGGUUGUUGAAAGAGAAGAAGUUGGAAGCGCUAGUAGAUGUUGAUCUUCAGGGUAAUUACAUAGACGAAGAAGUGGAGAAGCUAAUCCAAGUGGCUCUGCUCUGCACUCAGAGCUCACCAAUGGAAAGACCCAAAAUGUCUGAAGUUGUGAGAAUGCUUGAAGGAGAUGGUUUAGCUGAGAGAUGGGAAGAGUGGCAAAAGGAGGAAAUGUUCAGACAAGAUUUUAAUUACCAAAACUAUAAUCAACCAAACACUGCUUGGCUCAUUGGCGAUUCCACUUCCCACAUAGAAAACGAUUAUCCUUCGGGUCCAAGAUAAGAUUCGUAACACGAAUUAUUUCUGUUUUUAUUUUUCUUCUUAUGUAUUUAUUAAGGGUUUAGUUUAUGCUGAUCCAUAUUAUUGAGUUCUUUAAGCGAGUACAUGUAUGAAGAUUCAAUUCCAAGUUAUAUAAUCUUUUAAAGCUAGACACUUUAGUCAUCUACAAACAAAAAUCUCACAAAACUAUACUUUGUUACUAUGUUACCCAAACCAAACCAUGUAAAACUUUUUUUUUAAAUUAUGAUUGAAUUAUCUUUCUUCAUAUCAUUAGACACGACACACACAGCGAGACAAGAAAAAAAACAUAUUUAUUUUUCGUCCAUUCGUAGCUUAAGCUUUGCACACCAUAUUUUUAUUGUUUCAGUAUUUUAAAAUGAAAAUAUAUACACUAAAAAACGUAAGCAGUGCAAUAUUACGUUUGUUUUAUAUGCGUCUAUUUUUUUAUUAUAUCAUUUUUCCUCGUCAGAUAUUUGUACUUGCAAACUAUAAAUCUAAGUUUUUUAUUUGUUUCUUUUUUGAUAUUUCUAGAUAAUAUCCAAAUAGCUGGACUAGUUUUAUCUAGAGCCCACAAAACAAAAAGAGCCUCUACAAACUGAGCUGGGCCAAUUUGGACUCACCCUUAAAAGUUUAAACACGUCUUUAGAAGAACAUUAUGAUAUUAAUGAUAAAUAAAGUAAUAACGAAUGGUAUCCCACCAUUCAUCAUCAUGCUUUUUAUCAUCAUACGAACAUAACCAACAUCAUCCCCAGUUGAAGUCGUGCGCGUUUGACUUUGACCAGCUAAAGAGAGCUUGAAAUGCUCCACGUCAUCAAAACUUUUGUCGUUUUCCUCGUUUUGCAUUAAAUGCUAUUUUUAAUUUCACUGUACCAACUCAGACAAGUAUAAAACUCUUUGGCUUUGUCUUCUUUCACAUUUACUUUUUUUUCUUGUAAUAAUCUUUCUUUUUUUAAUUAUUCGUUCUUCUUCCGAUAACUUGUUUCUAUCAUCUUCCUUCCUUCGUUUUCUCUCAAUCUUAAAUCCUCCGGUUUAGUAGUCAACGGUCAGCGAUCUCGGCGUUUUCAAAUCGGAAACACAUAGCUCUGAGAGAGUCUUUGGUUAUCGAUUUGGGUUGGUCUUCUCUUCAAAUUAUAGUCAACGGUUGAAAACGCGUCAAGGGCUUUUCUCAUUGAUUCGAGAUCCUAUGAAGGAGAGUUGUUACUAGGGUUCGUUUUUAAUCUACGAGGAAUGAUGAAACCUACCUUCUUAUGGCUGCUUCUUGUUUUCGAUUUGGUUCUCAGAGUAGCUGGCAACGCCG